This 946-nucleotide ribosomal RNA is filed under the name Favolus sp. Its description in RNAcentral is "partial large subunit ribosomal RNA". It matches the Rfam family "Eukaryotic large subunit ribosomal RNA", at positions 22 to 982 of the family's 3401-position model. Lineage: Eukaryota; Fungi; Basidiomycota; Agaricomycetes; Polyporales; Polyporaceae. The record is from RNAcentral.
GUACCGGGUUGACUAGCAUAUCAUAAGCGGAGGAAAGAAACUACAAGGAUUCCCUAGUACUGCGAGUGAAGCGGGAAAGCUCAAUUUAAAUCUGCGGUCUUUGCGGUCCGAGUGUAGUCUGAGAAGUGCUUUCCGCGCUGGACCGUGUACAAGUCUCUUGGAAUAGAGCGUCAUAGAGGGUGAGAAUCCCGUCUUUGACACGGACUACCAGUGCUUUGUGAUGCGCUCUCAAAGAGUCGAGUUGUUUGGGAAUGCAGCUCAAAAUGGGUGGUAAAUUCCAUCUAAAGCUAAAUAUUGGCGAGAGACCGAUAGCGAACAAGUACCGUGAGGGAAAGAUGAAAAGCACUUUGGAAAGAGAGUUAAACAGUACGUGAAAUUGCUGAAAGGGAAACGCUUGAAGUCAGUCGCGUCGUGUGGGACUCAGCCUUGCUUUUGGUUGGGGGACUUCCUGGAUGACGGGCCCACAUCAAUUUCCACCGGUGGAUAAGGGCCCAAGGAAUGGGGCACCUCCGGGUGGGGUAUAACCUUCCGUCGCAUACCACCAUUGGGAUUGAAGAACCCAGCGUGCCCCAAGGGAACCUUUGAAGAUGCUGGCAUAAUGGCUUUAAACCACCCGUCUUGAAACACCGACCAAGGAAUCUAACAUGGCUGCCAGUGGUUGGGUGGAAAACCCGAACGCGUAAUGAAAGUGAAAGUUGAGACCUCUGGCGUGGAAGGCAUCCACGCCCGGACCAGACGUUUUCUGACGGAUCCGCGGUAGAGCAUGGAUGGUGGGACCCCAAAGAUGGUGAACUAUGCCUGAAUAAGGUGGAGCCAGAAGAAACUCUGGUGGAAGCUCCUAACGAUUCUGACGUGCAAAUCGAUCGUCAAAUUUGGGUAUAAGGGCGAAAGACUAAUCGAACCAUCCUAGUAGCUGGUUUCUGGCCGAGGUCCCCCUUAAGAUAAA